UAGGGAAUCUUCGGCAAUGGGGGCAACCCUGACCGAGCAACGCCGCGUGAGUGAAGAAGGUUUUCGGAUCGUAAAGCUCUGUUGUAAGAGAAGAACGAGUGUGAGAGUGGAAAGUUCACACUGUGACGGUAACUUACCAGAAAGGGACGGCUAACUACGUGCCAGCAGCCGCGGUAAUACGUAGGUCCCGAGCGUUAUCCGGAUUUAUUGGGCGUAAAGCGAGCGCAGGCGGUUAGAUAAGUCUGAAGUUAAAGGCUGCGGCUUAACCAUAGUACGCUUUGGAAACUGUUUAACUUGAGUGCAGAAGGGGAGAGUGGAAUUCCAUGUGUAGCGGUGAAAUGCGUAGAUAUAUGGAGGAACACCGGUGGCGAAAGCGGCUCUCUGGUCUGUAACUGACGCUGAGGCUCGAAAGCGUGGGGAGCAAACAGGAUUAGAUACCCUGGUAGUCCACGCCGUAAACGAUGAGUGCUAGGUGUUGGGUCCUUUCCGGGACUCAGUGCCGCAGCUAACGCAUUAAGCACUCCGCCUGGGGAGUACGACCGCAAGGUUG
RNAcentral lists this ribosomal RNA (550 nucleotides) under uncultured bacterium. RNAcentral's name for it is "bacterial SSU rRNA". It matches the Rfam family "Bacterial small subunit ribosomal RNA", at positions 355 to 896 of the family's 1533-position model. The record is from RNAcentral.